GAAGCCGGUCCUGGCUUCCUUGUCUGAAAGCUCUUUGGGACUGAAAUGGCUGUUUAUGAAUCCUUGUCAACCUCGUUCUCAGUCAACGACCAGGGAAUAAAUUAUUCGUGGAAUGACACCGUUCAUAAUUAUUAUAAGAUAAGGAAAUGGAGGUCCUGGAGGUUACAUGACUAGCCCAACAAGUAUGACAACUCCGAUAUCGGCUUGCGGUUCACUCAUUCAGUUUGCUGAUUCAGAGAUCUGUGCAUUCACUCACCUGUUCCUUCUCCAGAAAGGCCUCCCCACCCUACCACCUCCUCCUUUCUUAGUUUGGCUGUCUGUGACUCACUCAACACACAUCCCCAGACCUUUCUGGAACUCCAGGUUGGGCAGAUUGGCCUCCACAGCAACCUGUGGAUCUCUGAACACUGGGGCAAGGGCCUGGUCUCAAGCAGCUUCGUAUUCUGAGAUCAGUUUUUACUGAUUAUUGGACCAGCCAGGAUACUAACUAGUAUUUAUUCAGCACCUACUAUGUUGAGUAUAAAUAGCAUAGUAAAAGUAGGAAACACACAAUAAUACCUCAACAGAAAAAUGAGUAAACCAGCGAGGUGUCACGCCUGUAGUCCCAGCUUCUUGGGAAGCUGAGGCCGGCUAAGUUCAAGGAGGAUCGCUUGAGCAGGAGUUCCAGGCUGCAGCGCGCUAUGAUCACGCCUGCGAACAGCCAUUGCACUCCAGCCUGGGCAACAGAGCGCGACUGUGUCUCUAAAAAACAACGCAAAACAAAAAAACACUGCAGAACUUAAGCAUUUUGCUGCACUGCCCAGUGAAAUCCAUUCCAUUUGACAAAUACUGCCCUCUUAACAUUCUUAGAAUUUUUUUUUGGAGCAAGUAUUAGCGUCCCUGUUUUCAAGGAGGUGGUCAAGUAUGCACAGACAUCAGUAGUGACGUUUGCUGGAGACUUCCUUUAGACAAAAAUGAACUUAGGGACAGCACUUAAGUUAGAGGCCAAGUCUUUGGCCAAAGUAGCCUGCCAUCCUACUCCAGAGAACUGCUGUGGUUAAAAGAGGAAAAACUGUAUUCUGCGAUCAAGUAAGGCUCUAAACCCAGUAUUAGGAAAGAACAGUAGCCUUUUGUAUUAGAAAGAACACUGGCGUGGAAGUCAAAAGUUCUGGAUUCUAGUGCCAGCUAGAAUCUACCACGAUCGUGGUAGGCAAGCUGCUCCAAAACCCAGUUUCUGGUAAAUGAGAGUGAUGAUUACUAACUCACCUCACUGACUGUUGGGAAAAGCUAAGCUAUCUAAUGUACACAUUUUACCAGAUGCUACUUCAUUAUUAAUUAUUAAUGGUCUCAAAACACCAGUUGUGGCCAAGCACAGUGGGUCACACCUGUAAUCCCAGCACGUUGGGAGGCUGAGGCGGUAGAAUCACGUGAGUCCAGGAGUUUGAGACCAGCCUGGGCAACAUAGGGAGGCCCCGUCUCUUAAAAAAAAAUUAAAAAUUAGCUGGGCAUGGUGGCACACAUCUAUAAUUCCAGCUACUUGAGAGGCUGAGAUGGGAGAAUCACUGGAACCCAGAAGGUUAAGGCUGCAAUGAGCCAUCACUGUGCUACUCUACUCCAGCCUGGGCAACACAGCAAGACCCUGUGUCAAAAACCAGCACCAAAAAAGAACAUAAGUUGUUCCACAGGGCUGGUUAUUCGACGCAUAGACACAAACUGCGAUUCUGUGAAGUGUUGCUUUAUAAUAUUGGGUUAAGGAGAAGGUCAAGGCUGCAAUGAGCCAUCACUGUGCCACUCUACUCCAGCCUGGGCAACACAGCAAGACCCUGUGUCAAAAACCAGCACUAAAAAAGAACAUAAGUUGUUCCACAGGGCUGGUUCUUCGACGCAUAGACACAAACUGCGAUUCUGUGAAGUGUUGCUUUAUAAUAUUGGGUUAAGGAUGAUCUUGUCAAAAUACAGUACCCUGAAAACAACAUAUUAGGAGAGCCAGAAGUUUCCAAAGAAAGAAAGCACACCAAAGCUCUAGAGAAUUUUAAAAGUAAAAAACUUGUUUGGGGAGAAAAAAAACAAAAACAAAAAAAAGCAUUACUUAAAUCUUUGUACACAGAAACAGAGUAACCACUAGGGUAAACAAAGCAGCUAUGGCUUUAUUUCCCUCUACCUUCGUAACUUUGACAUUCUGCCUUACAGUCUAUUUUCACACAGUUUCUGUUGUUAAUGGGAGCUGAGGAACAAGGUACUGACACCUUCUUAUGGUUCAUCAAAAGAACCUUUGACUCUGAAAGGAUCUUGGAUAGGAUCAUCUCUCCAAACUUCCUAUUCAUGGAUCUUCUGACAUUCAGUUAGCCAGCCUCUUUUCUAACACUCUCUAUUAAAGUUAAGUCACUAGCCUGUAAUCCCAGCACUUUGGGAGGCCGAGGCCGGUGGAUCACCUGAGGUCAGGAGUUCCAGACCAGCCUGGCCAUCAUGGUGAAAUCCUGUCUCUAGUGAAAAUACAAAAAUUAGCCAGUUGUGGUGGUGCACACCUGUAAUCCCAGCUACUUGGGAGGCUGAGGUGGGAGGAUCCCCUGAUCUGGGGAGGCAGAGGUGACAGUGAGCUGAGAUCACACCACUGCACUCCAGCCUGUGCGACAGAGGGAGACUCCGUCUCAAUAAAUAAAUAAAUAAAUAGCUGGGCGUGGUGGCUCACGCCUGUAAUCUCAGCACUUUGGGAGGCUGAGGCAGGUGGAUCACUUGAGGUCAGGAGCUUGAAACCAGCCUGGCCAACGUGGUGAGACCCUGUCUCUACUAAAAAUACAAAAAAUUAGCCAGGUUUGUUGGCGUGCUCCUGUAAUGCCAGCUACUUGGGAGGCUAAAGUGGGAGAAUCACUUAAACCCGGGAGGUGAAGGAUGCAGUGAGCCAAGAUAGCACCACUGCACUUUAGCCUGGGCUACAAGAGC
This 2919-nucleotide long non-coding RNA is filed under the name Pan troglodytes (chimpanzee). RNAcentral's name for it is "lincRNA". The stretch from base 2650 to 2766 matches the Rfam family "Metazoan signal recognition particle RNA". The record is from RNAcentral. Lineage: Eukaryota; Metazoa; Chordata; Mammalia; Primates; Hominidae.